RNAcentral lists this ribosomal RNA (850 nucleotides) under Staphylococcus epidermidis. RNAcentral describes it as "bacterial SSU rRNA". It matches the Rfam family "Bacterial small subunit ribosomal RNA", at positions 78 to 909 of the family's 1533-position model. The record is from RNAcentral. Lineage: Bacteria; Bacillati; Bacillota; Bacilli; Caryophanales; Staphylococcaceae.
GCUUGCUCCUCUGACGUUAGCGGCGGACGGGUGAGUAACACGUGGAUAACCUACCUAUAAGACUGGGAUAACUUCGGGAAACCGGAGCUAAUACCGGAUAAUAUAUUGAACCGCAUGGUUCAAUAGUGAAAGACGGUUUUGCUGUCACUUAUAGAUGGAUCCGCGCCGCAUUAGCUAGUUGGUAAGGUAACGGCUUACCAAGGCAACGAUGCGUAGCCGACCUGAGAGGGUGAUCGGCCACACUGGAACUGAGACACGGUCCAGACUCCUACGGGAGGCAGCAGUAGGGAAUCUUCCGCAAUGGGCGAAAGCCUGACGGAGCAACGCCGCGUGAGUGAUGAAGGUCUUCGGAUCGUAAAACUCUGUUAUUAGGGAAGAACAAAUGUGUAAGUAACUAUGCACGUCUUGACGGUACCUAAUCAGAAAGCCACGGCUAACUACGUGCCAGCAGCCGCGGUAAUACGUAGGUGGCAAGCGUUAUCCGGAAUUAUUGGGCGUAAAGCGCGCGUAGGCGGUUUUUUAAGUCUGAUGUGAAAGCCCACGGCUCAACCGUGGAGGGUCAUUGGAAACUGGAAAACUUGAGUGCAGAAGAGGAAAGUGGAAUUCCAUGUGUAGCGGUGAAAUGCGCAGAGAUAUGGAGGAACACCAGUGGCGAAGGCGACUUUCUGGUCUGUAACUGACGCUGAUGUGCGAAAGCGUGGGGAUCAAACAGGAUUAGAUACCCUGGUAGUCCACGCCGUAAACGAUGAGUGCUAAGUGUUAGGGGGGUUUCCGCCCCUUAGUGCUGCAGCUAACGCAUUAAAGCACUCCGCCUGGGGGAGUACGACCGCAAGGUUGAAACUCAAAGGAA